CCCCNAUCNCUACCUACUUCGGCGGCUGGCUNCUUGCGGGUUACCCACCGACUUCGGGUGUUGUAAACUCUCGUGGUGUGACGGGCGGUGUGUACAANACCCGGGGAACGUAUUCACCGCGGCAUGCUGAUCCGCGAUUACUAGCAAUUCCGACUUCAUGCAGGCGAGUUGCAGCCUGCAAUCCGAACUGAGAUCGGCUUUUAUAGGAUUGGCUCCACCUCGCGGCUUCGCUUCCCGUUGUACCGACCAUUGUAGUACGUGUGUAGCCCAGCUCAUAAGGGGCAUGAUGAUUUGACGUCAUCCCCACCUUCCUCCGGUUUGUCNCCGGCAGUCACCUUAGAGUGCCCAAGCCGAACUGCUGGCAACUAAGAUCAAGGGUUGCGCUCGUUGGCGGGACUAACCCAACAUCUCACGACACGAGCUGACGACAACCAUGCCACCNCCUGUCUCCGAAGCUCCGAAAAAAGGGGCCCUAUCUCUNAAUGGCUUUCCAUCGGGGAAUGUUCAANGAAACUGGGUUAAGGGUUCUUUCCGCGUUUGGNCUUUCCNAAAUUAAAAACCCCCAUUACUUCCA
This 574-nucleotide ribosomal RNA is filed under the name Amazonian soil bacterium M51a. RNAcentral describes it as "partial 16S ribosomal RNA". The record is from RNAcentral.